Molecule: ribosomal RNA, 465 nt
Filed under: uncultured bacterium
Lineage: Bacteria
Description: partial 16S ribosomal RNA
Rfam family: Bacterial small subunit ribosomal RNA
Source: RNAcentral
CCUACGGGCGGCAGCAGUGGGGAAUAUUGCGCAAUGGGCGAAAGCCUGACGCAGCGACGCCGCGUGAGGGAUGAAGGUCUUCGGAUCGUAAACCUCUGUCAGCAGGGAAGAACGGUCACUGUGCUAAUCAGCAGUGAAUUGACGGUACCUGCAAAGGAAGCACCGGCUAACUCCGUGCCAGCAGCCGCGGUAAUACGGAGGGUGCGAGCGUUAAUCGGAAUUACUGGGCGUAAAGCGCUCGUAGGCGGUAUAUCAAGUCAAGGGUGAAAUCCCCGGGCUCAACGGGGGAACUGCCUUGGAAACUGGCAACCGGGAGUGGGUGGGAGGUUGGUGGAAUUCGAGGUGUAGGGGUGAAAUGCGUAGAUAUCUGGAAGAACAUCGAUGGCGAAGGCGACUUUCUGGCGCAUAACUGACGCUGAGGAGCGAAAGCGUGGGUAGCAAACAGGAUUAGAUACCCUGGUAGUC